RNAcentral lists this unclassified non-coding RNA (4683 nucleotides) under Leishmania donovani. Its description in RNAcentral is "gene:LdHU3.14.0810(CDS-product:WD_domain_G-beta_r epeat_putative)". Lineage: Eukaryota; Euglenozoa; Kinetoplastea; Trypanosomatida; Trypanosomatidae. The record is from RNAcentral.
CUUGCUCCUCUCUCCCUUUCACGGGCAGCGUACCAGAGCCGUGGGCGGCGUGUAUUUCUCCAUCUUUUCGUUUUGUGCGCUUGCGGCAGCAGUAGUCCUUGUUCGCUCGUUGCCCCCCCCCCAAAGGACAGGAGGAGAGAGUGCGCUCGCUUAACAGUGGCGCGUGACGGCAACACAUCCCGCACCCGCGCCCUCGCCACCGCGACGAAGCCGCCUCCUUUGCAACUCUACCUCUGCUCACCUGAACUCUAUUCGACAGGCGGCAAUGGUGGAGAAGACGUACUUGCGCUACGUCGUCGGGCCACAAGGCGGCGCUGUAGUGAGCAAUGCUUCUCUCGCGAUGGAUGCCGCUGUGGUGCCGUCUCGCUACACCGCCGCCGCCGGAAGCAGCGCCCGCCCGCGCACCGGCUCCCUUGCUCGUGGCAGUCGCGGCGGAUCGUCCCACGGACGUGGGGAACAUGCCACCAGUGGUCGUACGGCCCUUGCUCCCGUGAUCGCCACGUCGGCAGCUGCAGUCUUUGUGCCGUCCCUCGAGGCCGUCCGUGUCUACUCGGUGCGCAGCGGAGAGCUGCUACACACUCUCAUCCCUGCCGAGGCCAAGAUGCCGGUCGAGGUGACCACCCUGCACGUCGUGCCCAUGGAGGCGAACCAACGUGGCAGCAAGUUCAGUGCCGACGCAGACGUGCACAGUGGCAGCGGUGCCGCGACGCAGCAGUACAGCACGGGCUGGAUGCUGUUUGUCGGGUACUCGAACGGAUACGUGGCGGUGUUCUCCUGCAGUGCGGCCAACAACUACGGUCUGCCGGUGUGCCGCUUCUACGCGCUGGGCCACCGCGUGGACACGCAAGUGCUAGCUGUUGCCGUUGACUCGUCCCGCUCGACGCUGUGCUCAGCAGGACAAGAUACCGACAUCACGGUCUGGGACCUCGUAAGUCAAGAGGCGUCGUUCCGUCUGCGCGGGCACCGCGGUGGCGUGGUGGCGCUGGCGAUGGUGCCGUCCUUGUCUACGAGAAUCAGUACCGUUGGUGAUAUGGGCGGCAGUUCUGGCAACUUCAGCGGCACCGCUUACGAUCGCACGCUGCUGCUGAGUGGAUCAGCCGAUGGCCUGGUCAAGACCUGGGACCUCACCCUGCGUCAGUGUCUCCACACCGUCAUCGCCUCUGACACGCAGGUUACCGCGAUGGUAGCGGACUCGCAGGGCCGCCGCCUCUACUGCGGCCUGCGAGAGAACUACCUGAAGGUGUACAACACAGAGCCGCUGCUGACGUCGGCAUCGCUGGCCGCGCCAGAGCAGAGCGACGCCGCCAACGCGCACAACGGCACCGCCGCCGAGACGCAGCUGGAGGACGGCGCGAUUCUUGACCAUGGCACGGUGCCACGCAAGUAUCACAAGCCCAUCACGGCACUCGACUUCUCGCACGACGGCGCGUUUAUGGUGGGGUGCACAAGUCGCACCGUGGAGGUGUUCCACGUGCUGACCGCCGAGAAUGUGAAGAGGAAGCUGUACCGCAAGCGCAAGCGACGACGUGGCCCUGGAACGGCAGCCGACAGCGCUGAGGUGUUGGACGAGGAGGCGAGCGCAGGUUCUGGGCACCAGACGGGUAAGAAGAAGGUAGGCCGUAAGAAGAGUAAGAUGUGCGACACUGUGGCCGAGGACGACGGUGCUCAAGACGGCGACGAGGACGAUGCGGCGCCGUCGCACGGCGGUACCUCCGCGAGCGCCGCCACCGUCGUCGCGGCCACAGCUGCGGAGGAAGUCGUCUCACUGCGCGCUUUCUUCCUCCCGCAGAAGAUCCGCAGUGUGUGCUUCGUGCCGCCGACGUCCCGGGAGCAGCUUAGCGAGGCCGACACGCUGCACAUCGCCGUCACGUACAGCAGCAACACAAUGGAAACCUUCACGACAACGCUGACGACGAGCAACCGCGAGGGGGCGUCGGUGCUGACUCUGACGGACCUACGGCUGCGUCACACCUUCGACUGGAAGGGGCAUCACAGCGACAUUCGCGAGCUGGCAUUCGUCGACACCGACACAGCGCUGCUGUCGAUAAGCCGGGAGAAGGUGAUGAUGUGGUCGCUGACGGUGAAGGAGGACCUUCUGGAGAGCGACCACCUGGACCAUCACGACUUCUAUGACGCCAAGGAGGCAAACCUGGCACGCGUGGACUUCAAGGGCACGCUGAACAACGUGGGCAGCGUGGACGUCGAGGACGCGACCUGCAUGUCCGCCAUCUCCUCCUUGCUCUGCUGCGUCGGUCAGCAGGAUGGGUCGGUGCUGCUGCUCGACGUGGCGUCGUCAGCCGUGCUGUUUCGUGAGCCUGCCAUCCACGUUGGCGGCGUCAAGCACACCGUUCGGAGGCCGGACGGCGCCGGCUUCGUCACGCUCGGCGCCGAUCGCCGGCUACUUUUGUGGUCCAUCGGGCUUACCGAGGACAAGAAAAAUGUCCAGAGCGCGGGUAAUCGUGGCGCUGCCAAGAAGACACGGAUGACUGAAGCAGAUCGUGAUGAUGAUGACGAUGCAAUGACCGCUGGGGCCGGAGGCAACGGUGCCACCCUCGUCCAGGAGCAGGAGAUCGAACUGACGGAGGUGCCGCUGUGCGCCGCCUUCAGCCCGGAUGACCGCUUAUUCGGGGUGGGUCUGCAGAACAACAACGUCCAGCUCUUCUUUGCCGAUACCAUGAAGCCGUACCUCUCCCUCUUUGGCCACAAGCUGCCGCCGACGUCGCUUUCCUUCUCCACGGACGGCACACUGGUAGCCUCGGUCGGCAUGGACAAGUCGUUGCGCUUCUGGGGCACCGACUUCGGUGACUGCCACCGCGCCAUACACGCCCACGACGACUACAUCACGCAGGUGGAGUUCCUCGAGGAUACGCACUACGUCUUCACUGUGUCCAUGGACGGGUCUGUGAAGCAGUGGGACGGCGACAACUGGACAAUGAUCCAGCUCUUCCGCCAGCACCAGCGCGGUCUCUGGGCGGUGUCCGUCACCGCCAACGGCACGUGCGUCGCGACGGCCGGCGCUGACCGGUGCAUCCGCUGCUUCCUGCGCACGCAAGACAUCGUCUUCCCUCACGAAGAGGAGGAGCGCAUGGCGCAGGAAGCGAUGGACGAGGAGGUCGCCAAGCGUGCGGCGCUGCAGAAGCUCGACGGGGCGGACGUGAAUGGCACCGGGGCGGCUGAGGUGGGCAUUGCGGGCCAGCAGACGGCCACAACGGCGGAGGCGGCGGAGCGGCUAAUGGAGGCGCUAGACAUUGUGAACGUUGAGCAGCAGCGCAAGCAGUGCGGCGACGAUACGACGCCGCGUCACCCGAUGCUGCUGAAUAUGUCGGAGUGGGAGUUUCUCUGGUCCACCAUCGAGACGAUCCGGCCGAGCGAGCUGCGCUACACCCUGCUAUCGCUCACCAGCAUACACGUCGAUGCGCUACUGACGGCGCUGGAAUCGAUGCUGACGGAGAAGGCCGUGCUCAACUACGAGAUGGCGUCGAAGAUGGUUCUCGCGCUUGUCAUGAUGCCCGCAGAGUCGGGGUCCACUCAGGGGCUACGCGCCGCCGCCGUCCGCGGCGAAGUCUCUGAAGUGCAAGGUGCCCGUCGUCUCGCCGUGCUUCGCCGACGCAUCUCCGAGGGCCUGGACGAGAGCGUUAGCCGGAUGGACUACAGCGUAGCCGGAUUGCACCUCGUGCGUCAAUACCUCGAGGACACCGAAAAGAUCAAGUUCUUCGACUGCAGCAAGGCACAAGGGUACAAGCGCAAGUAUCACAGCCGCGCGCUGUCCACAUCAGAGGGCAAGCACUAAGCCUUAGGUUCAGCGUAGUGGCGCCGAAGGUGGUAGCCGUAUUGGUGUAGGACGCGGGUUUUCUUCUCUUUCGAAUUUUCAUUGGUAUCCUAACUCUCGAUGACGCGAAGAAACUAUUGAGAGAAACAGAGGGCAGCGCCAGAGGAAGAGAGUAAGAGGUGGGUGUGGGUGUGAGUUUGGGUGCACGUGCCAGCGUUCGCGGGUGCUUGGCCCCCUGACACUGGCUGCUCGCACCGCGACCAUUGUGCCCCUCCUCUCCUUUAUGCACUGUAAAUCGAACUAAAACCGUCCCCCUCCUCCCUCCCUUCUCUGUCGAUAAGGGCGGUGGAAGACGUGAUGCAACUCCGAAGAAAAAAAGAAGGAACAGCCCCCCCCCGUGCGGUGUUCUCCGAGCAUAGCACGAAUGACACGAGGAGCGCGCUCGUGCGUGGCGGUGUCGGUGGGAUGUUGAUCACGUGUGCGUGCGAGCGAGGCCGACGAAAUGGAGGAUGAAGAGAAGAAGGGGGCUCACACGACAGUGCAUCGAUUUUCCUCUCUCUUGCUUGCGUUCGUCUUCUGCCCCCCCCCCCUCCCUUCCUCACCGUGCGCGUCGGGCGCCCAGACAGGGGUGUGUGUGGAGGAAGGCAUCUCAUUGCAGUGGUGGGUCUUCUACUGACCAUCGCAGCCGCACCUUUGCUUUUUCGCCUUUCGCCCUCUCGCUCGCUCGCUCGGCCCCUCCCCCGCUCUCCCUGCGUUUGAGUGUGUGUGUGUGUGUAGACGAUGAGCUUCAAACACGGCGUCCGACGAACCGUUCGCUGUUCUGCUCCCUAUCCUCCCCCACCACCGCCACCGACCCACUCUUCGUCUUACUCCGCACGUCUCAUUUUAUCAUCCCCUCGCUCACACGUCGCCAG